Molecule: long non-coding RNA, 519 nt
Organism: Macrobrachium nipponense
Lineage: Eukaryota; Metazoa; Arthropoda; Malacostraca; Decapoda; Palaemonidae
Exons: 3
Source: RefSeq, a predicted model, not a curated record
GGUUCGCGCAUGCAUAAUUCACUGCCGUACCAAUAGUAUCUACCGCGAUCUGGGUACGGCUGCCGUACCAAUAUCCAGUUCGUAAUUGUUUACUUUACUCAUUGUUUAAUUUAUCAUUAUGUAGUUCAGCUAGCCUUUGCAGGUUGGACUAAUGAAUUUGAUGUAGUGAAAUAUGAACAUACCAGGCUGACUACAAAGGAACUGAAAUGUAAGGAGCCCUGUACAUCUUACACUUGAGUGGCCAAGACCUGUGUCCUUAGGAUCCAGAGCAUUUAAAGCAGUGACAAGGAUAAUGGGAAUUCAUCUGGGAGAGCACAAGGCAAGUAAUUAAAGGGUUUUCAUUACGUAUGUAAUCAAGUUGUCUGCUUAAAAAACAGGCAGCUUUUCGAUUAAGCUUCAAAGGAUGAUCAUGACUGACUGACUGGAUAUAUAAUGGCAUUGCUGUGUAUCGAACAGCAUUGCAAUGCUGGCUCCAAAGUGGUAAAAAUGUGUUUUUGUAACUACAAAUAAAGAACCACC